GACGAACCGUGCGAACGUUACUCGGAAUCAUUGGGCUUAAAGGGCGCGUAGGCGGCGGUGUAAGUUGGAAGUGAAAUCCCAUCGGCUCAACCGUGGAAUUGCUCCCAGUACUGCACUGCUCGAGGGGGAUAGGGGUCCGCGGAACUACCGGUGGAGCGGUGAAAUGUGUUGAUAUCGGUGGGAACGCCAGUGGCGAAAGCGGCGGACUUGACCCUUCCUGACGCUGAUGCGCGAAAGCUAGGGGAGCAAACGGG
Molecule: ribosomal RNA, 254 nt
Filed under: uncultured bacterium
Lineage: Bacteria
Description: partial 16S ribosomal RNA
Rfam family: Bacterial small subunit ribosomal RNA
Source: RNAcentral